UACGUAGGGUGCAAGCGUUAAUCGGAAUUACUGGGCGUAAAGCGUGUGCAGGCGGUUUCUUAAGUCAGAUGUGAAAGCCCCGGGCUUAACCUGGGAACUGCGUUUGAAACUGGGAGACUUGAGUGUGGCAGAGGGGGGUGGAAUUCCACGUGUAGCAGUGAAAUGCGUAGAUAUGUGGAGGAACACCGAUGGCGAAGGCAGCCCCCUGGGUUAACACUGACGCUCAUGCACGAAAGCGUGGGGAGCAAACAGG
RNAcentral lists this ribosomal RNA (253 nucleotides) under uncultured bacterium. RNAcentral describes it as "partial 16S ribosomal RNA". It matches the Rfam family "Bacterial small subunit ribosomal RNA", at positions 524 to 776 of the family's 1533-position model. The record is from RNAcentral.